This is a transfer RNA of Camelus ferus (Wild Bactrian camel), 72 nucleotides long. It matches the Rfam family "tRNA". From Rfam's summary of the family: Transfer RNA (tRNA) molecules are approximately 80 nucleotides in length. Their secondary structure includes four short double-helical elements and three loops (D, anti-codon, and T loops). The record is from Rfam. NCBI's taxonomy places the organism in Eukaryota, Metazoa, Chordata, Mammalia, Artiodactyla, Camelidae.
GCAUACAUAGCUCAGUGGUAGAGUGUGUGCUUAGCAUGCAUGAGGUCCUGGGUUCAAUCCCUAGUACCUCCA